This 490-nucleotide ribosomal RNA is filed under the name uncultured bacterium. RNAcentral describes it as "partial 16S ribosomal RNA". It matches the Rfam family "Bacterial small subunit ribosomal RNA", at positions 30 to 507 of the family's 1533-position model. The record is from RNAcentral.
AUUGAACGCUGGCGGCAGGCCUAACACAUGCAAGUCGAACGGUAACAGGAAGCAGCUUGCUGCUUUGCUGACGAGUGGCGGACGGGUGAGUAAUGUCUGGGAAACUGCCCGAUGGAGGGGGAUAACUACUGGAAACGGUAGCUAAUACCGCAUAACGUCGCAAGACCAAAGAGGGGGACCUUAGGGCCUCUUGCCAUCGGAUGUGCCCAGAUGGGAUUAGCUAGUAGGUGGGGUAACGGCGCACCUAGGCGACGAUCCCUAGCUGGUCUGAGAGGAUGACCAGCCACACUGGAACUGAGACACGGUCCAGACUCCUACGGGAGGCAGCAGUGGGGAAUAUUGGACAAUGGGCGCAAGCCUGAUGCAGCCAUGCCGCGUGUAUGAAGAAGGCCUUCGGGUUGUAAAGUACUUUCAGCGGGGAGGAAGGGAGUAAAGUUAAUACCUUGGCUCAUUGACGUUACCCGCAGAAGAAGCACCGGCUAACUCCGUG